This is a long non-coding RNA of Oncorhynchus tshawytscha (Chinook salmon), 1121 nucleotides long. The record is from Ensembl. Lineage: Eukaryota; Metazoa; Chordata; Actinopteri; Salmoniformes; Salmonidae.
CAGUACUGGACAACCAGCCCUGCUCAGUGUAGGCUGGGAAACGUUCUGUCCAGUACUGGCAACCAGCCCUGCUCAGUGUAGGCUGGGAAAACGUUCUGUCCAGUACUGGACAACCAGCCCUGCUCAGUGUAGGCUGGGAAAACGUUCUGUCCAGUACUGGACAACCAGCCCUGCUCAGUGUAGGCUGGGAAACUCCAUUUCUAAGGUGAUGUAUCACUGUACAUGGGACUGGGGACUUUCUGGCAUUUUAAAACAACAUCAGUAUCCUGGGAAUCAGUUUAAACAGUCCAAUUGAGUUUGGACUCCAGGAUAGGAGCAAUAAUCAGUAAUAUAGAAUAUAAUACAAUCCAUUUUGAGGGAUUACUUUGUAAGGUUUCAUCAGUGAGUGAAUUCUGCUCUUUUCCAUUAGACCCAGAUGUGAGAUUAUGAAAUGCAUUCCAAAUACCCCCCCUAUUCCCUAUUUAGUGCACUACUGUUGACCAUAAGUCCCUGAUUAAAAGUAGUGCACUACUUCAGGAAUAGGGGGUCAUUUGGGAUGCAGUAAACAGACUUCACCUCACGUCUGUUUUAACCAGUUCAGACCCACAAAUGGGAAACGUGACUCGUGUUACGGCUCCCAUUCCCCUGCCGGGAUAUCUUUGUCAGAUCACCUCGUAUCAUUUCCUGGCUACAUGUCAUUUCAGAUAGUUGUUGCUAACAUUUUGUUCAUUUCCUUGAACAUCCUCAAAGCGACUGAAACAAGAAUUCAAUUCCAACAGAUGUCUUGUGACUGAUAGGAAGAGAGCACUUACCCAUUUCCUGAUCCGGAGACAGACAGAACACUCUUCUACCCACAAUACCUUGGUGCUAUUAGAAACACAUAUGACUUUUGACUUCUCGGAAGGGGGAGGAGUUGUUACGUGGUUUCCAUGGUUUCCGCCAAGCAGUUGUUAUUGUUGUUGGGGAUCCUCUCCCAUUUCUUCCUCCUCUUGUAUAACAACCUGCUCCUGUGCCUGACUCUAAACGGUUGAAGUAAUCUAACACCCCUCUCCUCAUGUCUCCUCAGAAAGCUGUCUGUCUCUCUCCAUCUCCUCUUCUCCUCAUGUCUCCUUCAGAAAGCUGCCUGUCUCUCUCCAUCUCCU